RNAcentral lists this microRNA precursor (81 nucleotides) under Merops nubicus (carmine bee-eater). RNAcentral describes it as "mir-92 microRNA precursor family". It matches the Rfam family "mir-92 microRNA precursor family". From Rfam's summary of the family: This family represents the microRNA precursor mir-92. Human miR-92 has two predicted hairpin precursor sequences: mir-92-1 on chromosome 13 and mir-92-2 on chromosome X. miR-92 has also been cloned from mouse embryonic stem cells. The record is from Rfam by way of RNAcentral. Lineage: Eukaryota; Metazoa; Chordata; Aves; Coraciiformes; Meropidae.
GUUUCUCCAUGGGUGGGGAUUUGUUGCAUUACUUAUAGCUACAUGUAGAGUAUUGCACUUGUCCCGGCCUGUGGAGGAAAG